Long non-coding RNA from Lethenteron reissneri (Far Eastern brook lamprey), 178 nucleotides. RefSeq lists it as uncharacterized. Lineage: Eukaryota; Metazoa; Chordata; Hyperoartia; Petromyzontiformes; Petromyzontidae. The record is from RefSeq and is a predicted model, not a curated record.
GGACGAGGCCCUCCGGGAACUCGACAGGUCGACCGAUGAGCUCUUCAAAGUUAUCGUCAUUCCUAGCAACAAAGAUUGCUCCGUUCAGCGGGAGUUGCCACUCGAACAGCUGGCACUGAAUCUGCUCAAGAGCCUGGUGUUUGAUGGCAUCGCUGGAUGCUUGGAGACCCUGGGCAGG